CUCUACAUGGUACUGCCCCCACUGCAGAUGGAAUUCAACAUAAAAACUAUCUUGGGCUCCACCAAAGACAUCACUGAAGCACCAAAAGGCCUCCAGGAUGUAGCAUCUCAGGAUAUACUGAGGGUUAUAGUGUAUUCUGCAGAAUUGGGUUUGAAAAAUGAAGAAGGUAGAUGGAGGUUAGAGUAAAUUUCUCUCCUACUGAAGGUUUCUUGAACCCGUGGCCAUCAGCCCAUUCACUGAAUGCUGCAUGUCCUUGAAGCACUGUUGACUUGCUUCUUGCUGCAUGAGGACUCAUCAGAGAAAUACUGCUUCACGACAUCCCGAGACUCUGGCCCCCAAACUUCAGGGUCCAAGCUCGUGGGAAAGACGAUGCAUUUUGCUAGAGGAGAAGGUUACCUGGGCCUGGAACCCAAACACGUUCCCAGAAGUCCUUUGACAUCUCCCUACCAAAUCCAUGGUCACCGUAUUGCAAAAUGAUGGUGCUCACAUUCAUAUUCUCACUGUGGAUCUCACACUUUUUUCAUUGUGCUGACUUCCUUUGCUGUGGUGGAGCUUUGCAUGGUCUGGGAGGAUAAGGGACUCAGCAUUUUAGCAUCAGUUAGUAGAGACUCUUCCUCCUUGCCUUCAGUUCAUCAAAUCACUAACCAACGAGCAGCAUCACACGGAGAGCCCCAAGCAAAGGUCUCAGGUGGCAGUCCGUGGGAUGUUCUAGCUUUGGUGUUCCUGAGAGUUUGCAAUUAGUUUAUAUCCUUUGCCUUGAUGACCAGAGGGUCCAAAAUCAUAACUUCAGAGUGCAAUGAAAGAAAAUAAUAUUUUAUCCAACGACUGCAGUAAAUCCAGUCUCAAAUUUAUUCCACUGAUUAUUCUUCAAACCAGAAAAGAUGCGUGUCAACAUAGAAAUGGUCUGUUAAUGGGGAACCAACUCCAUGACUGCAUACUCUUGAUUCUCAGUCACGGAAGCCAGUUUCCUAUUUGUGGGACAAGGAUGUCUCGCACAAAGCUCUCUCCUGUAAGAUAAUAGCAGCUAAUACCUUAGUACCUACAACUGGAAGGCUUGGUAUGAAAGUUUCCAUGUCUCUUAGAUGAGGGGCAGCGUGUGGUCUCCACGAUGGGAUCCAGUUCUUUCUGCCCAUUCGUGGAGUGACUUGGAGAACAGGAAGCUGGUUUGCUGAAGGACCACUGGGCAGAGAGCCAACUGCAGGUGCUGAUGCCCAGAGGGUCAGUGCAAGAUGUGAGUUGAAGUUGGUAGAGGCAUGACAGCUUGGAUCCCUGAAUGACCGUGUGGAGCGGAGGUUUCCGCUGCCCCUCAACACAAGCUCUACACUGUGCACGGAAGUGACCAUGUCUGAGCCACCACGUUGGAUCUGUUUGUAGAUGCAGCUUACUCUACCUUGACGCACUACCUCUGUGCACUCAGAUGGGGUUAUACUGUGAUAAUCACACUUACAUGCCCGUGGACGUUGAAGCCCUUGGAAACAUCUGCGCACGUGUGUGCAUCUCAGUCUUGCACACAUUCAAACAGCUCUUGGGAAGUGCCAGAAGUCCCCCCACAAUCCAUCACUUUGUGUGCACAGAGGAGAUGCCCAGCUGAAGACAGGCAGAGAUGUGUGUGCCAGGGCCAUAUUUCUCCUGUGAAGAACAGAAGCCCCCUUUCUGACCUAGACCCAGAAGGUAAGCACUGCCAUCUGCUUUUUCCCUUUCAGUAGAGCGUGUCUCACGUUUGAGUGGGCACUGUGUGCAUCAUCUCUUCUUAAUUCUAGAGGCAGUGACAAUUCUGUGGAGGAGAGCUACUUUCCCAAGACUCUUCAGGUCGCCUAAUUCCACAUACCUAGGAAGGCA
Callorhinus ursinus (northern fur seal) is the source of this 1839-nucleotide non-coding RNA. The record is from RefSeq and is a predicted model, not a curated record. NCBI's taxonomy places the organism in Eukaryota, Metazoa, Chordata, Mammalia, Carnivora, Otariidae.